CUAAGUCUUUGAGAAGCAAAACACUGAAUGGCUUUUUCUUUAUAAAUUCUCAGGUUUGUUUCCCAGCAUCCCAGUGGAGUGACGUAAUGGUUUAAGUGUUUGGAAGCCAUGGCUGGAUUUGAACUACUGACUUAGAGGUGAAGUGUUCUACAGCCUAGAUCCAAAUCCCUGGAGUCAGAUGGCAGUUCUAUGUGCCCCGGAUAAAAUGAAUUGAGAAGCACUCUUCUGGUCUAUUUGCUGUCCCUGCUGGUCAGAAGAUCACUUCUAACUUGCUGGGUGGUGACCGUCGACCAGCUGAGCCAGUCCUGUCCCGUGGGCCCCUGCAGCCCAUGCCCUUUGACCUCGUGUCCAGGGCAGCGAGAUACGCUCUGGUGUUCACCACGCCCCUCUGGACUCUGUGUCCCAGCCCCUCGCAUUUUCUAAGAGCAGCUGUGCCGUUGGAGUCUCCGUGAUUAACAAAGUAUCAAGCCAUUCCCCAGGAACCUUCUAGACCUGCCUCUCAGGAGACAUCUGAUGGAUCUCUGCUUCACAGAUGGUUUAUCAGGACAUCAAGUAAUAACUUGCUCUUCUGUCUCCACUCUCCCGGGUACAUUUUAGAGGGAAAAAACCUCCACGUCAUAUGAUAGGUGUUUCAUCUUUGUUAAGACAAGCACCUGGCCAUGAAUCUUUAUCCUAUUCGCUGCGUGCUGAACCAGCCUG
Molecule: long non-coding RNA, 699 nt
Organism: Bubalus bubalis (water buffalo)
Lineage: Eukaryota; Metazoa; Chordata; Mammalia; Artiodactyla; Bovidae
Exons: 3
Source: RefSeq, a predicted model, not a curated record